ACGGAGGGUGCAAGCGUUGUCCGGAUUUAUUGGGUUUAAAGGGUGCGUAGGCGGCUAUUUAAGUCAGUGGUGAAAUCCUGCAGCUUAACUGUAGGCGUGCCAUUGAUACUGAGUAGCUUGAGUACAGGCGAGGCAGGCGGAAUUGAAGGUGUAGCGGUGAAAUGCAUAGAUAUCUUCAAGAACACCGAUUGCGAAGGCAGCUUGCUAGACUGUAACUGACGCUGAGGCACGAAAGUGCGGGGAUCGAACAGGA
This 253-nucleotide ribosomal RNA is filed under the name uncultured prokaryote. RNAcentral describes it as "partial 16S ribosomal RNA". It matches the Rfam family "Bacterial small subunit ribosomal RNA", at positions 525 to 777 of the family's 1533-position model. The record is from RNAcentral.